GAGCACGCCAGCAUCGACUGCCAGGGAUCAAAGGUUUGUGGCCCCUUCGCUCGGAGGCUGGGAGGGAGACAGACGAUAUGCUGGUCCUGUCUUUCGUCGGCCAGACAAGGGUGCUGAUGCUAAGCGGGGAGGAGGUGGAGGAGACUGAGCUGCCUGGCUUUGUGGACAACCUGCAGACCUUCUACUGUCGG
Long non-coding RNA from Salvelinus sp. IW2-2015, 191 nucleotides. RefSeq lists it as uncharacterized. Lineage: Eukaryota; Metazoa; Chordata; Actinopteri; Salmoniformes; Salmonidae. The record is from RefSeq and is a predicted model, not a curated record.